This is a long non-coding RNA of Corvus hawaiiensis (hawaiian crow), 607 nucleotides long. RefSeq lists it as uncharacterized. NCBI's taxonomy places the organism in Eukaryota, Metazoa, Chordata, Aves, Passeriformes, Corvidae. The transcript has 3 exons. The record is from RefSeq and is a predicted model, not a curated record.
GCCGCCUCCCGUUGCCCCCGCGGCCGCACAGGUGGCUGAUGCUCCUCUCGCCUGGGGGGCCGCUCCGCUGCCCGCAGAGCUCAAGAGCUAAAUUUGUCAAAAUAGAAGUUCAGGUAUAAAUCGGUAUCGGUUUUGUGGUAGAAGUGGUUAUACUGGGUCGGCCAUGAGGUCCUGCUGCUAUCCCGUAGCUUUAACCUUAGCUAACCGUGAGGUUUCCUCCGAGGAUGGCACAAGAAGUUGCCCAUAGGUGCAGGGAGACUUGAAUUCUGAGCUGAAAAAAGAGAAGAGUGAGUGAAUGAAAUUCCAGGAGGGAUUCAGAUGUAAAGUUGCAGGACAUAAUCUAUAAACAUUAAGUUGUGACAGCUUGCCAGAACUUCUCCGCAAGGACCUACUGAUGGAGUUUUUCUAAAGAGACUUCAUAAAAGCAGCAAACGGUGGGACCCUACAGUUGCCAGCUGCAGCAGUUGUUUCUCCAGUUUUCCCAAUAAGAUUUGUUGAAACUCUCUGUAUCACAAUGUCUUUAUUGGUAAUGGAUCCCUCCUUAAUUUGCACUAAUGCAUUUGGAAUGUCAGCUUCCAAAACAAGGCACAUGGGAGGCAUUUAAAGU